ACUUUCUCCUAUCUCCAUAUUCAUUUUUGAUAUCUACCCCAAUUCUGCAGAAAACUAAUUACAAGAAAGAAAUCAUCAAAACUUCAUAACCCCCUCAUUCUCUUAUUCCAUCAUUGCCUCAAUUCACCCCCCAUUCUAACUCCGGUCAAUGUUUGCUCAUCAAACUAUAACGAAAACUCAGCCGCCAUUCACUGAGGUUAGGGAGAGAGAAGACGAGAAUCAGGCGAAGAUGUGAAUAUCAGAAGAGAGGGAGUUGUCAGGUCAUGGGUUUAUUGUUGUCUUGGCGGGCUGGUGGCUGCGACACCAAUUUUCAGCGGCAACUAAUAGCCGGAAAUUUAGAAGUGAAAGGGAAGAAAUUUAAGGAUGUGUUCCAUUUAUUAUUUCUCUUUCCACCUGUAUCAGCAACCUAAUGGCAAAAAAAAAUCCCAAACUUCGAACCCUUUUCCUCACCCAAUUCUCCUCUUUUGCCAAUUCUACCACCACAUCGGCGACCCGUUCUCUGACGGAGACUCAGCUGCCAUUUGCUCAUCAAACUCUAAUGGAGACGCAACUUCCGCCUCGAACAAACGUCGGCCGAAACUCAGGCUGGCCUGCAGCCUCACGCCGCCUCCAAGCGCAAGAGCAAAUCUAGCAAGUUUUCUUCUCUCUAUUCCUAUUUCUUUUUCUAUUUCUUAUUCAGCAUACUUGAAUUUGUAUUUUUUUUAUUAAUUAAUGAUUAUCAGUCUGGAGCAAAUUUAUUUCUCAGAAAAUGGAGAUGGUUCAUGGGCAGGGCAGCUGCUAAUAUGGAGAUCACAAGAAGACCAAUUCGCUUAUGGUGAAGCAGUUCGGGAAUGAUAAUUGGUAUCCUCUGAAGACUGAUAAUUCUUAAUUUACCGUAAGGAAGGACUAUGUGUAUAGUACUCGGUCAUAAUUCUUCUUAAGUUGUUUCAUUUUCUAAUAUUCUAUUUUAGACAAUCUGGAACUACCAUAAUCUAAUUCUCUUUCGAGUAGUUUACUAAUCUGGAAAAAUGUAUCAAG
Molecule: long non-coding RNA, 1017 nt
Filed under: Salvia miltiorrhiza (redroot sage)
Lineage: Eukaryota; Viridiplantae; Streptophyta; Magnoliopsida; Lamiales; Lamiaceae
Description: long non-coding RNA (SMIL_LNC007778)
Source: RNAcentral